UCUUGCAACCUCAUCCACUUGUUCCUUUAUCUGACUUGCGUCUCUGAUUUCUCCACCGAGCUCGCCUCCUCUUCUUUCUUCAGACCUCCCCGUCUCCUCCGCGUCGGCGCACCUACAACAGUACAGCUCAUCACCAUGGCAGCGCUGCUACAUCACCACACCCCCAUCUAGUGCUAGUAUGCGGGAAACCAACAAUGUGCGGCGUUGAACUCCUCCAGUGGGAUUUUUUGCUUCAGUCGGCGAUGAUGGUGGUUGGCGGCAAUGGCGGUGGCGGAGAAUAAUAAGGAGAUGAUAGUGCUCGGCGGCGACGGCAUGGCCGCUAUGAAUUGUUUUUGCUGGAAUCAAUCUUUGCUCUUGCUACAUGGGAGAAGACUAUGUGAUGGGAAUCAGCUGUAUCCAGUGAAAUUUUUUGCUACAUCCGUCAUCAAUUUUUCUUGGAACCAACACGAGCGUCGGCUAUGACCGUCGCGCGGCGGAGCUACAACUAGGAGAAAUGCUACAACCGGUGCUUCAAUUUGCUAUUGUUGGCGUUUUUUUGUUGGAAUCAGUCGAAAGUAGGCGCGGAGGAGCUGCAUCCAACGACAUAAUUUGCUAUAUCCCACAUCAAUUUUUGCUGGAGCAGGUUGCGGCACAAUA
Molecule: non-coding RNA, 636 nt
Organism: Triticum urartu
Lineage: Eukaryota; Viridiplantae; Streptophyta; Magnoliopsida; Poales; Poaceae
Source: RefSeq, a predicted model, not a curated record